RNAcentral lists this small RNA (653 nucleotides) under Vincetoxicum lugardiae. RNAcentral's name for it is "eukaryotic LSU rRNA". The stretch from base 236 to 391 matches the Rfam family "5.8S ribosomal RNA". Lineage: Eukaryota; Viridiplantae; Streptophyta; Magnoliopsida; Gentianales; Apocynaceae. The record is from RNAcentral.
CGGAAGGAUCAUUGUCAAAUCCUUGUACCGAAUGACCUGCGAACAGCUUCCAAAAAAAUCACAAGCGUUGUUGCUUGGUGUGGGUCGGUGACUGGUUGCCGGACGCGUCGAGCAAAUCGAAAACAAAAAUCCGGCGCGGGAAGCGCCAAGGACCAGCGAAACAGAGGAUGGCCUUCCCGCGGUAAUCUGGCCGCGGGGGUUAAAAGGGUCUCCAAAUGAGAAUGUUAUACAAUACGACUCUCGGCAACGGAUAUCUAGGCUCUCGCAUCGAUGAAGAACGUAGCAAACUGCGAUAGUUGGUGUGAAUUGCAGAAUCCCGUGAACCAUGGAGUCUUUGAACGCAAGUUGCGCCCGAAGCCAUUAGGCCGAGGGCACGUCUGCCUGGGCGUCACGCAGUGCGUCGUCCCCCCUCACCCGUGUCCCGAAAGGGUCGCGGGGCUUAGCGUGGGGGCGGAAGUUGGCUUCCCGUGCAGCGUUUGCGGCUAGCCAGAAACACCGGUUCCCUCGGCGCGGACGUCGCGACCAGUGGUGGCAAGCUAGAGAUUGUACGCGAGUUGCCGGCAAGCUGCGUCGAGGAGAGAAUUUGGACCCCGUGGGAGACGAGUGUCCCUUCAGCGAGGGGCAAUCGCAAGGAUUGCGACCCCAGGUCAGGC